This 285-nucleotide ribosomal RNA is filed under the name uncultured bacterium. RNAcentral describes it as "partial 16S ribosomal RNA". It matches the Rfam family "Bacterial small subunit ribosomal RNA", at positions 335 to 616 of the family's 1533-position model. The record is from RNAcentral.
AGUCCUACGGGGGGCAGCAGUGAGGAAUAUUGGUCAAUGGCCGGAAGGCUGAACCAGCCAAGUCGCGUGAGGGAAUAAGGCCCUAUGGGUCGUAAACCUCUUUUGUCAGGGAGCAAAGGCGUCCACGUGUGGACGAGAGGAGAGUACCUGAAGAAAAAGCAUCGGCUAACUCCGUGCCAGCAGCCGCGGGAAUACGGAGGAUGCGAGCGUUAUCCGGAUUCAUUGGGUUUAAAGGGUGCGCAGGCGGGCCUUUAAGCCUGCGGGGAAAUAGCGGGGCUCAAACCC